RNAcentral lists this ribosomal RNA (1468 nucleotides) under metagenome. RNAcentral describes it as "SSU rRNA". It matches the Rfam family "Eukaryotic small subunit ribosomal RNA", at positions 48 to 1376 of the family's 1831-position model. The record is from RNAcentral.
GCCUUGCAUGUCUAAGUACAAGCCGCUAGACGGCGAAACCGCGAAUGGCUCAAUAAAUCAGUUAUGGUUCCUUAGAACAGUCAAUCCUACUUGGAUAACUGUGGUAAUUCUAGAGCUAAUACAUGCACCCAAGCCCCGACUCGGGGGGCAACUCUCGAGAAAGGGCGCUUUUAUUAGAUCAAAACCAGUCGAGAGCUUCGGCUCUCGUUAAGUUUGGUGACUCUGGAUAACUUCACGCUGAUCGCACGGUCUUCGCACCGGCGACGAUUCUUUCAAAUGUCUGCCUUAUCAACUGUCGAUGGUAGGUUAUGCGCCUACCAUGGUUGCAACGGGUAACGGGGAAUCGGGGUUCGAUUCCGGAGAGGGAGCCUGAGAAACGGCUACCACAUCCAAGGAAGGCAGCAGGCGCGCAAAUUACCCACUCCCGGCACGGGGAGGUAGUGACGAAAAAUAACGAUACGGGACUCUUCCGAGGCCCCGUGAUUGGAAUGAGUACACUUUAAAUCCUUUAACGAGGACCCAUUGGAGGGCAAGUCUGGUGCCAGCAGCCGCGGUAACUCCAGCUCCAAUAGCGUAUAUUAAAGUUGUUGCGGUUAAAAAGCUCGUAGUCGGAGUUCUGUCUUCGGCCGAGGGGGGAUUCUGCCUACACGGUAUGAGUCUCGUCCCCUUUGGGUGUGCGGUGUCAAAGCCGUGCACUCUUAACGGUCGGACAAGUCCGUCGGAGUGUGGUUAUUGUUGGAAGGGCAACCGACCAAUGAGGCCACCGUAAUCGUUCGGGGUGCCUUUAAUCGGGUGUCUCGGGCGGCCGACAUAGUUUACUUUGAACAAAUUAGAGUGCUCAAAGCAGGUGACUACCGCCUGAAUAGUACAGCAUGGAAUGAUGAAAGAGGACCUCGGUCUGAUUUUGCUGGUCUUUAACGGUCGGGCUUCGGCCCGGCCUAUGCAGACCCGAGGUAAUGGUCAAUAGAGACGGACGGGGGCAUCCGUACUGCGGCGACAGAGGUGAAAUUCUUGGACCGCCGCAAGACGAACGACAGCGAAGGCAUUUGCCAAGAAUGUUUUCCUUGAUUAAGAACGAAAGUUAGAGGUUCGAAGGCGAUCAGAUACCGCCCUAGUUCUAACCAUAAACGAUGCCAACUAGCGAUCCGCCGGUGUUACUCCCAUGACUCGGCGGGCAGCUUCCGGGAAACCAAAGUCUUUGGGUUCCGGGGGAAGUAUGGUUGCAAAGCUGAAACUUAAAGGAAUUGACGGAAGGGCACCACCAGGAGUGGAGCCUGCGGCUUAAUUUGACCCAACACGGGAAACCUCACCAGGCCCGGACACUGGAAGGAUUGACAGAUUGAGAGCUCUUUCUUGAUUCGGUGGGUGGUGGUGCAUGGCCGUUCUUAGUUGGUGGAGCGAUAUGUCUGGUUAAUUCCGAUAACGAACGAGACUCUAGCCUGCUAAAUAGGUGCCGGGUUUUUACAUC